Molecule: small nucleolar RNA, 93 nt
Organism: Balaenoptera musculus (blue whale)
Lineage: Eukaryota; Metazoa; Chordata; Mammalia; Artiodactyla; Balaenopteridae
Gene: SNORD116
Rfam family: Small nucleolar RNA SNORD116
About the family: HBII-85 is a member of the C/D class of snoRNAs, which contain the C (UGAUGA) and D (CUGA) box motifs. HBII-85 is encoded in a tandemly repeated array with another C/D snoRNA, HBII-52, in the Prader-Willi syndrome (PWS) region of chromosome 15. Unlike most other snoRNAs, HBII-85 is expressed prevalently in the brain (but is absent in PWS patients) and lacks any significant complementarity with ribosomal RNA.
Source: Ensembl
GGAUCGAUGAUGACACCCUUGUAUGCAUUCCUUGGAAAAUCUGAACAAAAUGAGUGAGAACACUCUACCGUCUCCUCAUCGAAACUGAGGUCC